This 447-nucleotide ribosomal RNA is filed under the name uncultured bacterium. Its description in RNAcentral is "bacterial SSU rRNA". It matches the Rfam family "Bacterial small subunit ribosomal RNA", at positions 330 to 793 of the family's 1533-position model. The record is from RNAcentral.
UCCAGACUCCUACGGGAGGCAGCAGUGGGGGAUAUUGCACAAUGGGGGGAACCCUGAUGCAGCGACGCCGCGUGGGUGAAGGAGUAUUUCGGUAUGUAAAGCCCUAUCGGCAGGGAAGAAGCAAGACGGUACCUGACUAAGAAGCCCCGGCUAACUACGUGCCAGCAGCCGCGGUAAUACGUAGGGGGCGAGCGUUAUCCGGAUUCACUGGGGGUAAAGGGAGCGUAGACGGCCAUGCAAGCCAGGGGUGAAAGCCCGGGGCCCAACCCCGGGACUGCCCUUGGAACUGCAUGGCUGGAGUGCGGGAGGGGCAGGCGGAAUUCCUAGUGUAGCGGUGAAAUGCGUAAAUAUUCGGAGGAACACCAGUGGCGAAGGCGGCCUGCUGGGCUUUAACUGACGCUGAGGCUCGAAGGCGUGGGUAGCAAACAGGAUUAGAUACCCCUGUAA